UGGGGAAUUGUUCGCAAUGGGCGCAAGCCUGACGACGCAACGCCGCGUGGAGGAUGAAGAUCUUCGGGUCGUAAACUCCUUUCGAUCGAGACGAAUUCCCUUGGGGUGAACAAUCCCGAGGGGUGACGGUACCGAGAGAAGAAGCCCCGGCUAACUCCGUGCCAGCAGCCGCGGUAAUACGGGGGGGGCAAGCGUUGUUCGGAAUUACUGGGCGUAAAGGGCUCGUAGGCGGCCAACUAAGUCGGACGUGAAAUCCCUCGGCUUAACCGGGGAACUGCGUCCGAUACUGGAUGGCUAGAGGUUGGGAGAGGGAUGCGGAAUUCCAGGUGUAGCGGUGAAAUGCGUAGAUAUCUGGAGGAACACCGGUGGCGAAGGCGGCAUCCUGGACCAAAACUGACGCUGAGGAGCGAAAGCCAGGGGAGCAAACGGGAUUAGAUACCCCCGUAGUCC
Molecule: ribosomal RNA, 450 nt
Filed under: uncultured bacterium
Lineage: Bacteria
Description: bacterial SSU rRNA
Rfam family: Bacterial small subunit ribosomal RNA
Source: RNAcentral